AGCCCCGUCGCCAAGUGGUUUAAGGCACCUGGCUCUGAACCAGGCAUUCGGUGGUUCGAAUCCAUCCGGGGCUGCCA
Molecule: transfer RNA, 77 nt
Filed under: Lysobacter sp.
Lineage: Bacteria; Pseudomonadati; Pseudomonadota; Gammaproteobacteria; Lysobacterales; Lysobacteraceae
Also listed under: 3 other names
Description: tRNA-Gln
Rfam family: tRNA
About the family: Transfer RNA (tRNA) molecules are approximately 80 nucleotides in length.
Source: RNAcentral